GUGGGGAAUAUUGGACAAUGGGCGAAAGCCUGAUCCAGCCAUGCCGCGUGUGUGAAGAAGGUCUUCGGAUUGUAAAGCACUUUAAGUUGGGAGGAAGGGCAGUAAGUUAAUACCUUGCUGUUUUGACGUUACCGACAGAAUAAGCACCGGCUAACUUCGUGCCAGCAGCCGCGGUAAUACGAAGGGUGCAAGCGUUAAUCGGAAUUACUGGGCGUAAAGCGCGCGUAGGUGGUUUUGUAAGUUGGAGGUGAAAUCCCCGGGCUCAACCUGGGAACUGCCUCCAGAACUGCAUGACUAGAGUACGGUAGAGGGUAGUGGAAUUUCCUGUGUAGCGGUGAAAUGCGUAGAUAUAGGAAGGAACACCAGUGGCGAAGGCGACUACCUGGACUGAUACUGACACUGAGGUGCGAAAGCGUGGGGAGCAAACAGGAUUAGAAACCCCUGUAGUCC
Molecule: ribosomal RNA, 450 nt
Filed under: uncultured bacterium
Lineage: Bacteria
Description: partial 16S ribosomal RNA
Rfam family: Bacterial small subunit ribosomal RNA
Source: RNAcentral